RNAcentral lists this ribosomal RNA (465 nucleotides) under uncultured bacterium. RNAcentral describes it as "partial 16S ribosomal RNA". It matches the Rfam family "Bacterial small subunit ribosomal RNA", at positions 338 to 795 of the family's 1533-position model. The record is from RNAcentral.
CCUACGGGUGGCAGCAGUGGGGAAUAUUGCGCAAUGGGAGAACGCCUGACGCAGCGACGCCGCGUGAGGGAUGAAGGUCUUCGGAUCGUAAACCUCUGUCAGCAGGGAAGAACGGUCACUGUGCUAAUCAGCAGUGAAUUGACGGUACCUGCAAAGGAAGCACCGGCUAACGCCGGGCAAGCAGGCGCGGUAAUACGGAGGGUGCGAGCGUGAAGGGGAAUUACUGGGCGUAAAGCGCGCGUAGGCGGUAUGUCAAGUCAAGGGUGAGAUCCCCGCGCUCAACGUGGGAACUGCCUUUGAAACUGGCAAACUGGAGUGUGUGAGCGGAUAGUGGAAUUCCAGGUGUAGGAGUGAAAUCCGUAGAUAUCUGGAGGAACAUCGGUGGCGAAGGCGACUAUCUGGCACAUAACUGACGCUGUGUAGCGAAAGCGUGGGUAGCAAACAGGAUUAGAUACCCUUGUAGUC